RNAcentral lists this ribosomal RNA (238 nucleotides) under uncultured bacterium. RNAcentral describes it as "partial 16S ribosomal RNA". It matches the Rfam family "Bacterial small subunit ribosomal RNA", at positions 524 to 776 of the family's 1533-position model. The record is from RNAcentral.
UACGAUGGAGACAAGUGUUAGUCAUCUUUAUUAGGUAUAAAGGGUACCUAGACGGUAAAUAAUAGCCUCAUAUUAAAAAAAAAAGGUACUUUUUUACUUGAGUUUUAUAGGAGAGGAAUAUAUUGGAACUAUAGGAGUAGAGAUAAAAUUCUUUGAUACUUGUAGGACUGGGAGAGGCGAAAGCAAUCCUCUAUCUUAAAACUGACGUUGAGGGACGAAGGCUUGGGUAACAAAUAGG